RNAcentral lists this ribosomal RNA (559 nucleotides) under uncultured bacterium. Its description in RNAcentral is "partial 16S ribosomal RNA". It matches the Rfam family "Bacterial small subunit ribosomal RNA", at positions 355 to 905 of the family's 1533-position model. The record is from RNAcentral.
UGGGGAAUUUUGGACAAUGGGCGAAAGCCUGAUCCAGCAAUGCCGCGUGUGUGAAGAAGGCCUUCGGGUUGUAAAGCACUUUUGUCCGGAAAGAAAUCCUUGGCUCUAAUACAGUCGGGGGAUGACGGUACCGGAAGAAUAAGCACCGGCUAACUACGUGCCAGCAGCCGCGGUAAUACGUAGGGUGCAAGCGUUAAUCGGAAUUACUGGGCGUAAAGCGUGCGCAGGCGGUUUGCUAAGACCGAUGUGAAAUCCCCGGGCUCAACCUGGGAACUGCAUUGGUGACUGGCAGGCUAGAGUAUGGCAGAGGGGGGUAGAAUUCCACGUGUAGCAGUGAAAUGCGUAGAGAUGUGGAGGAAUACCGAUGGCGAAGGCAGCCCCCUGGGCCAAUACUGACGCUCAUGCACGAAAAGCGUGGGGAGCAAAGCAGGAUUAGAUACCCUGGUAGUCCACGCCCUAAACGAUGUCAACUAGUUGUUGGGGAUUCAUUUCCUUAGUAACGUAGCUAACGCGUGAAGUUGACCGCCUGGGGAGUACGGUCGCAAGAUUAAAACUCAAA